GCUAACUACGUGCCAGCAGCCGCGGUAAUACGUAGGGCGCGAGCGUUGUCCGGAAUUAUUGGGCGUAAAGAGCUCGUAGGCGGCUUGUCGCGUCUGCUGUGAAAACGCGGGGCUUAACUCCGCGCUUGCAGUGGGUACGGGCAGGCUUGAGUGUAGUAGGGGAGACUGGAAUUCCUGGUGUAGCGGUGGAAUGCGCAGAUAUCAGGAGGAACACCGAUGGCGAAGGCAGGUCUCUGGGCUAUUACUGACGCUGAGGAGCGAAAGCAUGGGGAGCGAACAGGAUUAGAUACCCGGGUAGUC
RNAcentral lists this ribosomal RNA (300 nucleotides) under uncultured Nesterenkonia sp. Its description in RNAcentral is "bacterial SSU rRNA". It matches the Rfam family "Bacterial small subunit ribosomal RNA", at positions 496 to 795 of the family's 1533-position model. The record is from RNAcentral. Lineage: Bacteria; Bacillati; Actinomycetota; Actinomycetes; Micrococcales; Micrococcaceae.